UACGUAGGGUGCAAGCGUUGUCCGGAAUUAUUGGGCGUAAAGAGCUCGUAGGCGGUUUGUCGCGUCUGCUGUGAAAACUCAGGGCUUAACCCUGAGCUUGCAGUGGGUACGGGCAGACUAGAGUGCGGUAGGGGGAGACUGGAAUUCCUGGUGUAGCGGUGAAAUGCGCAGAUAUCAGGAGGAACACCGAUGGCGAAGGCAGGUCUCUGGGCCACUACUGACGCU
Molecule: ribosomal RNA, 225 nt
Filed under: uncultured bacterium
Lineage: Bacteria
Description: partial 16S ribosomal RNA
Rfam family: Bacterial small subunit ribosomal RNA
Source: RNAcentral